GUCCCCAUCGUCUAGUGGCCCAGGACUCCGCCUUUUCACGGCGGCAACAGGGGUUCGAGUCCCCUUGGGGACGCCA
RNAcentral lists this transfer RNA (76 nucleotides) under Candidatus Glassiibacteriota bacterium. RNAcentral's name for it is "Candidatus Glassbacteria bacterium tRNA-Glu". It matches the Rfam family "tRNA". From Rfam's summary of the family: Transfer RNA (tRNA) molecules are approximately 80 nucleotides in length. Their secondary structure includes four short double-helical elements and three loops (D, anti-codon, and T loops). The record is from RNAcentral. Lineage: Bacteria; Candidatus Glassiibacteriota. RNAcentral also lists the same sequence under 1 other name.